AGGAUGAAGUGAGCCAAGAUCACACCAGGGCACUCCAGCGUGGGAGACAGAGUCCAUGUCCAUCUCAGUCAACGAACCAAAUAUAUUAAGCUAUCCAGGUGAUUCUGAUGGAGGCUUGAAUUUGAACACCAUGUCUCCUGCAGGUCCAGACUCAGAGAUUUAAGUGGAUGACAAGUAUUUGUUCAGCACCUGCUGUGCAUUGUUUUAUGUACUGAAGAUACAGCAGCCCACCUGGAGCUGACAUUCUAGUGGGGAAAGAAAGUAAAAUUUCUCUAAAGGACGGCUAUUUCCUUGUUACUCAGAGCUGUGUCCAAGGAACAGCACCACCACCACCUGAGUAUUCCUGAGAAAGGCAGAAACCCACAUGUGCUGAAUGACAAUGUCCAUUUUCCAGAAGGUCCUCAACUAAUUCAUAAAAAUUUGGAUGCCCUGUUCUACAUUAAUGUGCUUCCACAUUUGUUUACCUUAAUUGCCCAUCUGGAACUUAGCCCGUUUCUUCCCAAUUAAGUCCCUGAAUUUAAUUCGGCAUUAUAAGCCAUAAUGUUUCUAAUAAACGUUUAAUCAGGUUAUACCUUCUCUAACUUCCUCUCCAAAAAUCACAUGACACUAUUCAAUUAUGUUAAUUUGGCCUAUAUAAUACUAUCUGAUGAAGUUAUAAUAUUUUCUAUAAAACUAAAUUAUGGCCAUACAAGGCUGACCAUUUAUGGUGAUAUUCAUCUAUGGUAGAUAAAACACAGGUCUGGGUGGUGAGGUACCUCAAUCCUUCAUGCCUCUCCAAUAGUCAGAAUGACAGAGCAGGAAGAUGUUACUCGUUCUCUGACACAUUUUGGUGCUGGAAGCUGACAUUACCUUCUUUCCUAUUUCUAUCACCCUGCUCUUCCUUCCACAAAUCAAUUUGACUUUACUACCCUCCUUUACAUA
Molecule: non-coding RNA, 921 nt
Organism: Saimiri boliviensis boliviensis (Bolivian squirrel monkey)
Lineage: Eukaryota; Metazoa; Chordata; Mammalia; Primates; Cebidae
Source: RefSeq, a predicted model, not a curated record